Molecule: ribosomal RNA, 87 nt
Filed under: Halorubrum sp. GN12_10-3_MGM
Lineage: Archaea; Methanobacteriati; Methanobacteriota; Halobacteria; Halobacteriales; Haloferacaceae
Source: RNAcentral
CAUUCCGAACACGGAAGUUAAGCCCACCAGCGUACCGUGAAGUACUGGAGUGAGCGAUCCUCUGGGAACCACGGGUCGCCGCCUGCC